GGCCACUUAGCUCAGUUGGUUAGAGCAGCGCAACUCUACAUGGUUAGAGCAACACAUUAAUGUGUUAGUCAUUGGUUCAAGUCCAAUAGUGGCCA
RNAcentral lists this transfer RNA (95 nucleotides) under Caudoviricetes sp. RNAcentral's name for it is "tRNA-Arg". It matches the Rfam family "tRNA". From Rfam's summary of the family: Transfer RNA (tRNA) molecules are approximately 80 nucleotides in length. Their secondary structure includes four short double-helical elements and three loops (D, anti-codon, and T loops). Further hydrogen bonds mediate the characteristic L-shaped molecular structure. tRNAs have two regions of fundamental functional importance: the anti-codon, which is responsible for specific mRNA codon recognition, and the 3' end, to which the tRNAs corresponding amino acid is attached (by aminoacyl-tRNA synthetases). tRNAs cope with the degeneracy of the genetic code in two manners: having more than one tRNA (with a specific anti-codon) for a particular amino acid; and 'wobble' base-pairing, i.e. permitting non-standard base-pairing at the 3rd anti-codon position. Lineage: Duplodnaviria; Heunggongvirae; Uroviricota; Caudoviricetes. The record is from RNAcentral.